RNAcentral lists this non-coding RNA (786 nucleotides) under Stenophyella macreta. Lineage: Eukaryota; Metazoa; Arthropoda; Insecta; Hemiptera; Pachygronthidae. The record is from RNAcentral.
UUGUAAGUUGAUUCUGCUUAGUUCAGUUGUGUUAGAAAUUAUUCAUUACAUGCUAGUUUUUGCGUGAUUUUUUGUUCCUUAAUGGAAAAAUUUUUUAUUCGCAGUUUUUGGUUUUAUUUAUUUAGAUUUAAUCUAGAAUUAGUAAAUUUCUUUUAAGAUUGUUUAAUAUCGUGCCAGCAAACGCGGUUACACGAUUAAUCUUAUUCAAUUUUUUUGUUUAUAUUUAUAUUGUUGGUUGGGUAUUUUUUGAAUUAUUAUUAGGUGAAAUUUGUAAAUUUUAUUAUUUACCCUGGUGAUAGAUUAUAAGAAAAUCAAAUUUUAAACUAGGAUUAGAUACCCUAUUAUUUUGAUUGUAAUUUUAUUAAACAUAAUACUAAUAGUUAAGGUCUUUAAAUUAAAAGAAUUUGGCGGUAGUUUAAAUUUUUCAGAGGAACCUGUUCUUUAAUCGAUAUUCCACGUUGAAUUUUACUUAAAUUUAUUGUUUAUAUACCUCUGUCAUUGAAUGUAUUAUAAGAUUAUAUUUUCUUAAAUUAUUAUUUAAAUAAUGUCAGGUCAAGGUGUAGCUAUAUUUAAGCUUGAAAUGGGUUACAUUUAAUUAAUAUUGAUUGGAUUUUGUAGUUGGAAUUUACUUAUUUCAAUGAAAUAGGAUUUGAAAGUAAAAUUGUUUUAUUUAUUCAUUUUGAUUAUAUCCCUAUUCUAUGCACACAUCGCCCGUCACUCCCAUUAUUAUUAAAAUGGGAUAAGUCGUAACAAAGUAAUUUUACUGGAAAGUGAUGUUUGAUUUAU